GACGAACGCUGGCGGCGUGCUUAACACAUGCAAGUCGAGCGGUAAGGCCCUUUCGGGGGUACACGAGCGGCGAACGGGUGAGUAACACGUGGGUGACCUGCCCUCAGCUCUGGGAUAAGCCUGGGAAACCGGGUCUAAUACCGGAUAUGACUCCAUGACGCAUGUUGUGGGGUGGAAAGCCUUGUGCGGCUGAGGAUGGGCCCGCGGCCUAUCAGCUUGUUGGUGGGGUGANGGCCUACCAAGGCGACGACGGGUAGCCGGCCUGAGAGGGCGACCGGCCACACUGGGACUGAGACACGGCCCAGACUCCUACGGGAGGCAGCAGUGGGGAAUCUUGCGCAAUGGGCGAAAGCCUGACGCAGCGACGCCGCGUGAGGAUGAC
This 382-nucleotide ribosomal RNA is filed under the name uncultured bacterium. RNAcentral describes it as "bacterial SSU rRNA". It matches the Rfam family "Bacterial small subunit ribosomal RNA", at positions 28 to 412 of the family's 1533-position model. The record is from RNAcentral.